AGUGAACGCUGGCGGUAGGCCUAACACAUGCAAGUCGAACGGCAGCACAGGAGAGCUUGCUCUCUGGGUGGCGAGUGGCGGACGGGUGAGGAAUACAUCGGAAUCUACUUUUUCGUGGGGGAUAACGUAGGGAAACUUACGCUAAUACCGCAUACGACCUACGGGUGAAAGCAGGGGAUCUUCGGACCUUGCGCGAUUGAAUGAGCCGAUGUCGGAUUAGCUAGUUGGCGGGGUAAAGGCCCACCAAGGCGACGAUCCGUAGCUGGUCUGAGAGGAAGAUCAGCCACACUGGAACUGAGAAACGGCCCAGACUCCUACGGGAGGCAGCAGUGGGGAAUAUUGGACAAUGGGCGCAAGCCUGAUCCAGCCAUACCGCGUGGGUGAAGAAGGCCUUCGGGUUGUAAAGCCCUUUUGUUGGGAAAGAAAUCCAUCUGGUUAAUACCCGGGUGGGAUGACGGUACCCAAAGAAUAAGCACCGGCUAACUUCGUGCCAGCCGCCGCAGUAA
This 506-nucleotide ribosomal RNA is filed under the name uncultured bacterium. RNAcentral describes it as "partial 16S ribosomal RNA". It matches the Rfam family "Bacterial small subunit ribosomal RNA", at positions 29 to 523 of the family's 1533-position model. The record is from RNAcentral.